GGAACUUCUCGGGAACAAGCAGUUUCAUUCCUCCAACCUCUUCCAUGGCAUUGAGCCAUAGAGACGUCCAUCCAAUGACUAGAUCCAGGUAACCUAUUUUCUCUCCCCCAAAAUACUUCUUCCCUGCAAUCUGUUUCUCCAAAUGUUCAAACAUUUCUUGUGCAGUUUCAAUGGCCUUCUUCUUAUUUUCUCCUUCCGACUUUACAGCUUCCCAUGCGCUAAGAACACACUGUACUUGUCGAAAAUGGUUAGUAUGUGUUCGCAGUGAGAAGAAAUCCCAUAUCCAAAAGAGUGCAAUCCCAUACGUGUAUUUUAACUACCAAACACUACCACAACAAAAAACAAAGUAUUGUUCUUAUAAAUUUUGUGUAGGCUAUAUAUAUCAUGUUUCUUGGUUUCGUUUAGUUCAUUGCCACAUCUGCUUCGACACUGAAAGAUAACAAGUCCCAAAAGUUCAAGGCAAAGCAAGAUGAAAAGAAUUUUGAUGUCAAAUGAAGAAAAAGAACAAAAUGUUCAAGCUAAAGGAGGAGAUGCCUAGACACUUGCUCCUGCAAUGAAAGAGGUAACCUCAGUCUGAAGCUAUAUCCCUCCUAGGUAAAAAAAGAAGAUUUACUAGAUCCUUG
Molecule: long non-coding RNA, 623 nt
Filed under: Olea europaea (common olive)
Lineage: Eukaryota; Viridiplantae; Streptophyta; Magnoliopsida; Lamiales; Oleaceae
Description: long non-coding RNA (OEUR_LNC008358)
Source: RNAcentral